CAGCCAUUCUAACGGUGGCAUGCUCCCUGCUUUCUUUGAUCAAGUCGAGGUUAGCUUGAAGCCACACCAGAUUAGUGUCUUUAUUGUAUUCCUCGACUUUGAGGGAAGGAAGUCCAAACUUCACAAAAAUGACUUUUUCAAUCCCAAAUGCAAGAUUGAAAGUAGUCUCGUCAGUUGGGAUCCUUUGAGUGGUCUAGCAAGCCCACAAUAUAUGAUGAAGCUCAUCUACCCAA
This 233-nucleotide long non-coding RNA is filed under the name Elaeis guineensis (African oil palm). RNAcentral's name for it is "long non-coding RNA (EGUI_LNC072409)". The record is from RNAcentral. Lineage: Eukaryota; Viridiplantae; Streptophyta; Magnoliopsida; Arecales; Arecaceae.